ACAUAUGUAGUAUAGAGUUUUAUAUUCAAUUUAGGUUUGAAAGAAGUAGAUAUGUU
RNAcentral lists this transfer RNA (56 nucleotides) under Heterakis dispar. RNAcentral's name for it is "tRNA-Leu". The record is from RNAcentral. Lineage: Eukaryota; Metazoa; Nematoda; Chromadorea; Rhabditida; Heterakidae.